GUGGACGCCAGUCUGCAUGGAGCCGACCUUGAAAUACCACCCUUUAAUGUUUGAUGUUCUAACGUGGACCCGUGAUCCGGGUUGCGGACAGUGUCUGGUGGGUAGUUUGACUGGGGCGGUCUCCUCCUAAAGAGUAACGGAGGAGCACGAAGGUUGGCUAAUCCUGGUCGGACAUCAGGAGGUUAGUGCAAUGGCAUAAGCCAGCUUGACUGCGAGCGUGACGGCGCGAGCAGGUGCGAAAGCAGGUCAUAGUGAUCCGGUGGUUCUGAAUGGAAGGGCCAUCGCUCAACGGAUAAAAGGUACUCCGGGGAUAACAGGCUGAUACCGCCCAAGAGUUCAUAUCGACGGCGGUGUUUGGCACCUCGAUGUCGGCUCAUCACAUCCUGGGGCUGAAGUAGGUCCCAAGGGUAUGGCUGUUCGCCAUUUAAAGUGGUACGCGAGCUGGGUUUAGAACGUCGUGAGACAGUUCGGUCCCUAUCUGCCGUGGGCGCUGGAGAACUGAGGGGGGCUGCUCCUAGUACGAGAGGACCGGAGUGGACGCAUCACUGGUGUUCGGGUUGUCAUGCCAAUGGCACUGCCCGGUAGC
RNAcentral lists this ribosomal RNA (586 nucleotides) under Salmonella enterica subsp. enterica serovar Anatum. RNAcentral describes it as "partial 23S ribosomal RNA". It matches the Rfam family "Bacterial large subunit ribosomal RNA", at positions 2164 to 2749 of the family's 2925-position model. The record is from RNAcentral. Lineage: Bacteria; Pseudomonadati; Pseudomonadota; Gammaproteobacteria; Enterobacterales; Enterobacteriaceae.